AGAGUUUGAUCAUGGCUCAGAACGAACGCUGGCGGCGCGCCUAAUACAUGCAAGUCGAGCGAGAAGACGUAGCAAUACGUUUGUAAAGCGGCGAACGGGUGAGGAAUACAUGGGUAACCUACCCUCGAGUGGGGAAUAACUAGCCGAAAGGUUAGCUAAUACCGCAUACGAUUCCCGGACUUCGGUUCGGGAAGGAAAGCGAUACCGUGGGUAUCGCGCUCUUGGAUGGGCUCAUGUCCUAUCAGCUUGUUGGUGAGGUAAUGGCUCACCAAGGCUUCGACGGGUAGCUGGUCUGAGAGGACGAUCAGCCACACUGGCACUGCGACACGGGCCAGACUCCUACGGGAGGCAGCAGUAAGGAAUAUUGCGCAAUGGACGAAAGUCUGACGCAGCGACGCCGCGUGGGGGAUGAAGGUCUUCGGAUUGUAAACCCCUUUCGGCAGGGAAGAUGGAAUGGGGUAACCCAUUCGGACGGUACCUGCAGAAGCAGCCACGGCUAACUUCGUGCCAGCAGCCGCGGUAAUACGAAGGUGGCAAGCGUUGUUCGGAUUCACUGGGCGUACAGGGAGCGUAGGCGGUUGGGUAAGCCCUCCGUGAAAUCUCCGGGCCUAACCCGGAAAGUGCAGAGGGGACUGCUCGGCUAGAGGAUGGGAGAGGAGCGCGGAAUUCCCGGUGUAGCGGUGAAAUGCGUAGAGAUCGGGAGGAAGGCCGGUGGCGAAGGC
This 722-nucleotide ribosomal RNA is filed under the name uncultured bacterium. RNAcentral describes it as "bacterial SSU rRNA". It matches the Rfam family "Bacterial small subunit ribosomal RNA", at positions 8 to 722 of the family's 1533-position model. The record is from RNAcentral.